CUGGCAGUGACAGGAGACAAAGACUAAAAACUCUGGAGUGAAUGGAAAGAAAAGAGCCAGAUAAAUGACUCAGGCUCCAAGCAAGCAUAUUUGAAUGCAGACUAGUUUCUAAAGGGCAACUGGAUAUUUAUCCUUGAAACCCAGCCACCAUGUUUUGAGGAAGCUUGGGCCAUAUGCAGAGGCCACAUGUAGGUGUUCAGCCCACAGCCGUCACCAGCCACCAGUUGGCUUUUCAGAGACGACAAGAGGAGAAGGCAGGCUGGCACCAGUCAGUGCUCAAGAGAGAGGGAAGGAGUCUUAGUAAUUCAAAAGCCCUCAGCAGUCCUGGAAAGAAAGCAGUCCUUACAAACAGGAAGUAAUAAA
Molecule: long non-coding RNA, 363 nt
Organism: Canis lupus familiaris (dog)
Lineage: Eukaryota; Metazoa; Chordata; Mammalia; Carnivora; Canidae
Exons: 3
Source: RefSeq, a predicted model, not a curated record